Molecule: ribosomal RNA, 539 nt
Filed under: uncultured kinetoplastid
Lineage: Eukaryota; Euglenozoa; Kinetoplastea
Description: bacterial SSU rRNA
Rfam family: Eukaryotic small subunit ribosomal RNA
Source: RNAcentral
GCUGUUAAGGGUUCGUAGUUGAACUGUGGGCUGUCUUCAAGAGAGACACUUACGUCCCCGCUCAUCCUGAGCGCGGGGCCUGUGCGCUUGCAGCCCGUGAACAUCCGAAACAAAGACCGCGGAACGACACUUCCCCUCAACUUUUACGCGCCCAAUGUGCGCCGAGGGGCGUCCGCGUUUUUUCUGUGACUAAAAAAAUGUGACUCAAGCAGUCAUUCGACAUGAAUUGGAAAGCAUGGGUAACAACGCAGCAGCCUGCGGGCAACCGUUAUAGGCUUUUGUUGGCCCUAAAUGUCUGUGGGGAUUAUGGAUCCGCACGACAAGCGGUUCGGGGUUUCGUCCCCACGCCUCCGCCGUCCGGCUGCUUUCGGGCCCGGUGGCGGCUUGCGGCGUCCAGGAAUGAAGGAGGGUUGUUCGGGGGGAAAGUACUUCGUCGUGAGAGGUGAAAUUCUUAGACCGACGAAAGACUAACUCAGCGAAGGCAUUCUCCAAGGAUACCUUCCUCAAUCAAGAACCAAAGUGUGGAGAUCGAGAUGAUU